CCAAUAGCGUAUAUUAAAGUUGUUGCAGUUAAAAAGCUCGUAGUUGAAUUUCGGAAUCAAUUUGUUGGUCGUGCCUCGGUACGUACUGGUAUUAUUGGUUUCUACCUUCUGAAGAACCUUGAUGUCAUUAAUUUGGUGUCUUGGGGAAUCAGGACUGUUACUUUGAAAAAAUUAGAGUGUUUAAAGCAAGCAUACGCUUGAAUACAUUAGCAUGGAAUAAUGAAAUAGGACGUUUGAUUCUAUUUUGUUGGUUUCUAGGAUCGACGUAAUGAUUAAUAGGGAUAGUUGGGGGCAUUAGUAUUCAAUUGUCAGAGGUGAAAUUCUUGGAUUUAUUGAAGACUAACUACUGCGAAAGCAUUUGCCAAGGAUGUUUUCAUUAAUCAAGAACGAAAGUUAGGGGAUCGAAGACGAUCAGAUACCGUCGUAGUCUUAACCAUAAACUAUGCCGACUAGGGAUCGGAUGAUGUUAAUUUUUUAAUGACUCAUUCGGCGCCUUACG
This 499-nucleotide non-coding RNA is filed under the name uncultured Glomus. RNAcentral's name for it is "SSU rRNA". It matches the Rfam family "Eukaryotic small subunit ribosomal RNA", at positions 591 to 1092 of the family's 1831-position model. Lineage: Eukaryota; Fungi; Glomeromycota; Glomeromycetes; Glomerales; Glomeraceae. The record is from RNAcentral. RNAcentral also lists the same sequence under 1 other name.